GCGGAUAUUGGGCGUAAGAGCUCGUAGGCGGUUUGUCGCGUCUGUCGUGAAAGUCCGGGGCUUAACCCCGGAUCUGCGGUGGGUACGGGCAGACUAGAGUGCAGUAGGGGAGACUGGAAUUCCUGGUGUAGCGGUGGAAUGCGCAGAUAUCAGGAGGAACACCGAUGGCGAAGGCAGGUCUCUGGGCUGUAACUGACGCUGAGGAGCGAAAGCAUGGGGAGCGAACAGGAUUAGAUACCCUGGUAGUCCAUGCCGUAAACGUUGGGCACUAGGUGUGGGGACCAUUCCACGGUUUCCGCGCCGCAGCUAACGCAUUAAGUGCCCCGCCUGGGGAGUACGGCCGCAAGGCUAAAACUCAAAGGAAUUGACGGGGGCCCGCACAAGCGGCGGAGCAUGCGGAUUAAUUCGAUGCAACGCGAAGAACCUUACCAAGGCUUGACAUGUUCUCGAUCGCCGUAGAGAUACGGUUUCCCCUUUGGGGCGGGUUCACAGGUGGUGCAUGGUUGUCGUCAGCUCGUGUCGUGAGAUGUUGGGUUAAGUCCCGCAACGAGCGCAACCCUCGUUCCAUGUUGCCAGCACGUCAUGGUGGGGACUCAUGGGAGACUGCCGGGGUCAACUCGGAGGAAGGUGAGGACGACGUCAAAUCAUCAUGCCCCUUAUGUCUUGGGCUUCACGCAUGCUACAAUGGCCGGUACAAUGGGUUGCGAUACUGUGAGGUGGAGCUAAUCCCAAAAAGCCGGUCUCAGUUCGGAUUGGGGUCUGCAACUCGACCCCAUGAAGUCGGAGUCGCUAGUAAUCGCAGAUCAGCAACGCUGCGGUGAAUACGUUCCCGGGCCUUGUACACACCGCCCGUCAAGUCACGAAAGUUGGUAACACCCGAAGCCGUGGCCUAACCCUUGUGGGGGGAGCCGUCGAAAGGUGGGACCAGCGAUUGGGACUAAGUCGUAACAAGGGUAACCGUA
The sequence is a ribosomal RNA, 962 nucleotides long. It matches the Rfam family "Bacterial small subunit ribosomal RNA", at positions 545 to 1504 of the family's 1533-position model.